Molecule: long non-coding RNA, 792 nt
Organism: Vanessa tameamea
Lineage: Eukaryota; Metazoa; Arthropoda; Insecta; Lepidoptera; Nymphalidae
Exons: 4
Source: RefSeq, a predicted model, not a curated record
UACUUAAUCACUUAAAUAAUAGUAUACCAAUCAGACAUGUUAAAAUUAGCAUCAAUUUUGAUAUUUGUCUCCUUAUCAAAUGCUAAAAUAGCAAAAAAUCAGCUCAAACUAUUUGAAAGAAAUGAUUAUCAGUCGUCGGAAAUAUUAAAAGGAACCGAGAGCAAUAUAAAUUUGAAAUCAAAUGUUACAUUAUGGAUCCUUAAUUUAUUAGACGAUUCGUUAGAUUUUCAGCGAUUAUAUUUAGCGAGCAAAGCUGACGAGAAAGUUUUCAAUAAUAUUAUUUGUCCGGCAAUUGAAAACUACAAACUCCAAAGAUCAAUUACAAUAAAUAAGGAAAAUUCUGAAAAGGUACAGCCUGUAGACGACAAGCAGAUUGAGAGAAAAAAUAAAAACUCUGAAGCAAAUUUUAAUAUUCACAAUUUGAAAGGCAUUAAAAAUGAAAUUUUGGUAUUGUUGAAUAAAUUUUUCAUGAAUCAAUUAAGCGAGCCGAAUUCCUAUGUAAGUGAAAUCGUCCCUAGAAAUGAACAAAAAUCUUUGAAGUUGUAUUUCAUCGGACCCUUCACAUCUUUGAUAAUGACGUCUAAGAAAAUGAGGUACCACUAUUUCAUAAACCCCCCUUCACCACUGCCCAGUUGGUUUUAUGGAGAACAUAAAAAUAUAGUGGAAAGUAAUAAUAAGAAGUAUGUGGAAAUACCAGUCGGUGUACAAAACGAUUUCCUUAAGAAGCUAUUAAAUUUAUUAAAGAUAUACAUAGGUUUUCCUGUGUAAAAAUGUUUUUAUAUUUGUUGAUAU